This 253-nucleotide ribosomal RNA is filed under the name uncultured bacterium. Its description in RNAcentral is "partial 16S ribosomal RNA". It matches the Rfam family "Bacterial small subunit ribosomal RNA", at positions 524 to 776 of the family's 1533-position model. The record is from RNAcentral.
UACGUAGGAUGCAAGCGUUGUCCGGAUUUACUGGGCGUAAAGCGCGCGCAGGCGGCCGUACAAGUACCCUCUGAAAUCUCCUUGCUCAACGAGGAGGGUGGAGGGUAGACUGUGCAGCUAGAGGAGGGUAGAGGGGGGUAGAAUUGCUGGUGUAGCGGUGAAAUGCGUAGAGAUCAGCAGGAAUACCGGUGGCGAAGGCGGCCUUCUGGACCAUUUCUGACGCUGAGACGCGAAAGCGUGGGGAGCGAACAGG